AACGAACGCUGGCGGCAUGCCUAACACAUGCAAGUCGAACGAUACCUCCGGGUCUUGGGGCGCACGGGGGCGUGCGGAGGGGUAACCUGCCCGUGAGUUCCCUAUAACUCCCCGAGAGGUGUCCUAAUACAGCAGAAUCUCUUCCGGGCUAUGGUCUAUCGCCUUUGGGUGGGCCCGCGUUGGAUUAGCUAGUUGGUAGGGUAAAAGCCUACCAAGGCGACGAUGCAUAGCUGGUCUGAGAGGAUGAUCAGCCACACUGGGACUGAGACACGGCCCAGACUCCGACGGGAGGGAGCAGUGGGGGAUAUUGGACAAUGGGGGCAAGGCUGGUCCAGCAAUGCCGCGUGAGUUGUGAAGGUCUUAGGGUUGUAAAGCUCCUUUACCCGGGAUGAUAAUGACAGUACCGGGAGAAUAAGCGCCGGCUAACUACGUG
RNAcentral lists this ribosomal RNA (433 nucleotides) under uncultured bacterium. RNAcentral describes it as "partial 16S ribosomal RNA". It matches the Rfam family "Bacterial small subunit ribosomal RNA", at positions 29 to 507 of the family's 1533-position model. The record is from RNAcentral.